This 467-nucleotide ribosomal RNA is filed under the name uncultured bacterium. RNAcentral's name for it is "partial 16S ribosomal RNA". It matches the Rfam family "Bacterial small subunit ribosomal RNA", at positions 28 to 507 of the family's 1533-position model. The record is from RNAcentral.
GACGAACGCUGGCGGCGUGCUUAACACAUGCAAGUCGAACGAUGACCAGGAGCUUGCUCCUGUGAUUAGUGGCGAACGGGUGAGUAACACGUGAGUAACCUGCCCCCGACUCUGGGAUAAGCGUUGGAAACGACGUCUAAUACUGGAUAUGAUCACUGGCCGCAUGGUCUGGUGGUGGAAAGAUUUUUUGGUUGGGGAUGGACUCGCGGCCUAUCAGCUUGUUGGUGAGGUAAUGGCUCACCAAGGCGACGACGGGUAGCCGGCCUGAGAGGGUGACCGGCCACAAUGGGACUAAGACACGGCCCAGACUCCUACGGGAGGCAGCGGUGGGGAAUAUUGCACAAUGGGCGAGAGCCUGAUGCAGCAGCGCCGCGUGAGGGAUGACGGCCUUCGGGGUGUAAACCUCUUUUAGUAAAGAAGAAGCGAAAGUGACGGUACCUGCAGAAAAAGCACCGGCUAACUACGUG